RNAcentral lists this ribosomal RNA (497 nucleotides) under uncultured bacterium. RNAcentral describes it as "partial 16S ribosomal RNA". It matches the Rfam family "Bacterial small subunit ribosomal RNA", at positions 28 to 507 of the family's 1533-position model. The record is from RNAcentral.
GAUGAACGCUGGCGGCGUGCCUAAUACAUGCAAGUCGAGCGAACAGACGAGGAGCUUGCUCCUUUGACGUUAGCGGCGGACGGGUGAGUAACACGUGGAUAACCUACCUAUAAGACUGGGAUAACUUCGGGAAACCGUAGCUAAUACCGGAUAACAUGUUGAACCGCAUGGUUCAACAGUGAUAGACGGUCUUGCUGUCACUUAUAGAUGGAUCCGCGCCGCAUUAGCUAGUUGGUAAGGUAACGGCUUACCAAGGCAACGAUGCGUAGCCGACCUGAGAGGCUGAUCGGCCACACUGGAACUGAGACACGGUCCAGACUCCUACGGGAGGCAGCAGUAGGGAAUCUUCCGCAAUGGGCGAAAGCCUGACGGAGCAACGCCGCGUGAGUGAAGAAGGUCUUCGGAUCGUAAAACUCUGUUAUUAGGGAAGAACAAAUGUGUAAGUAACUAUGCACGUCUUGACGGUACCUAAUCAGAAAGCCACGGCUAACUACGUG